This 30-nucleotide non-coding RNA is filed under the name Mus musculus (house mouse). The record is from RNAcentral. Lineage: Eukaryota; Metazoa; Chordata; Mammalia; Rodentia; Muridae.
UAGGAAAUGUUCCUUUGACUCAAACUGCAC